AUAUAUAUUUAUAUAGCUGCUGGAAUAGCACAACAGAAAGGACAGGACUGGGCUCAGUGAGCAAGGAGUGAAACAGAGUGCUGCCUUCUGAGGAAACGGCUUCUGAUUUGGAAAAUGCUGUAUGCAUCUUGUGGCAUUUUCACAAUAAAUAUAAAAUUAAAAGCAUUGAAAUGUGAACACACACACACAAAAAAUUCCUUCAUGUUGGUGAAAAGUGUAAGUUGGCAGAAAAACAUUUGAUUUGGCUUGUUUGUUUUGUUUUGUUUUUAAUUUGAAUCCUUCCCCUCUGCAGCAGCUCAGUACCAUCACACUGCAACCACAGAUUAAAAUAUUUGGAGCUCAGGACCCUUACGAAUGCCUUCACACACCCGAGGCUUUGAAGAACGCACAGCUGCAGCUGCCUUUCCCUCAGGGGCCUCACAGUGCACUGAGCACGUGCAGAAACUUCUGGAGUGCUGGGGAAGGAGGAUCCUGCACCUGUGAGGGGCUUUAGUGCCAGUUAUGCUUCUGUCUCUCUGGUGUGGGCUGAGUCUCUUAAGUGCCGUCUUGCUCUUCAGGCACCUGAAAGCAUCCUAAAAGCUGCAAGUUCAUGAAGAGGCAAAGUAACAGAAAAUUGAUCACGAGAGUCUUCAUGAGUAUAUGCGUGUAGCCAUUGCCUGGAAUUACUCUCUGUGUGGUGUUAAGCAGCUGAGGAGCUGGGAUCUACUAAUGCAAGUCUGUGGCAGAUUCUGAUCACAUGCUUUCUUUGGCUGAUUUCCAUGUGUGCAUUGCUGGCGGCUAUUCUUCUGAAGCACUUUCUGUACAUGCUCCUAUGUCUUUUGUACAUCCCUAGUUCAGCGGUUUUUUAAGAGGGCUCCAUUAUGGGACUGCAAGCAAAAGUUGAGGAUAGAAAUGAUAUCAAAUCUGUGGAUUAAGGAUAUGAUUUGCUUUGGCAAAUCUCUUGCUAUCCCUCAUCUCAAGUUACAUCACUGGAAUAUGGUGAUUCAUACAUCCCAUGUGAGAGUAAGUGAGAAUUUAUUUUCUAAAUAGCAAAAAGUAGUGUGAACAUACUGCUUAGAAACACUUUCUAACUGCGGUGGAUAAGUAACAUCUGAAUAGGUGCCCAAGCGUUAACCAAAAAAUAUAAGCACACUGCAUGUAUAUAUAAGCAACCAACUUUUGCAGUUCAUUCAUCUGCAAAAUGCUCUACAUCACAUCCAUUGUAAAGUAGGGUUCGUUCAAGCAAGUGUGAUUGUGUUAAUUUGAGAAUAUUCUUUCGUUCUAGAGAAGCAAACAAAAUGAAUGCUGGGAUUAUCAAUAUGGAGUGAAUGUGUUGGAGAGCAGGAUAUGUAAACUGCUGCUGAAUUUAUGUGGUUUUCUACUCCUCCUUAUGAAGAAGCAGAAAAAGAGAGCUCGUACAGCUCACUCAUUUAUUUGAAUAGAAAGACUGUGUGAGUGGCUGAAAUCUGAAAAUCAAAUACUGCUCCUACAUUUUCAAUCAGUAGGAAGUAGCACAUGAUUAGUCUUCUACAGUUAUUGCAGUGACCUUCCUCAAGUUUAGUUCAGUAAUCAUAAAAUCUGAAUGUUAAGCAUUUGCUUGCCAGCCUAGUUUUUUUAACAGCAUCUUUUCUAUUUAUUUUUAUCACUAAUGUAUAAAUAUAUGGAUAUCAGAUGGCAUUUUGCAUGAAGAUAAAUUUCACUUAGUGUGGUAGGGUGGUAAGGUUGUGGGCUUUAGCAGAACUGUCUGAAACAAUAUUCCCAGGUAACUGCAAGAGCUGCAGCUCCCAAGCAUCUAAAAUAAUAAAUGGCACUCUUGUCUUUCCCGAGGGCAUUUUAGGAAUAUUUAGCAUAUGAACACAUGUGAAAACUAUGGUGGGCUGAAAGGAGUACUGAAUUGUACUUAGCAUUCUUGAAACUGAAAGGCAGAGAAGAGCUAUAUAAAUGAAUGGGUUCCUAGAGGCUUUUUUAUAGAUUAUAGGAGGAGAAUGUGUUAUAAUAAAAGGUAAUAAGAGCUUUCCUGCCUCCAAUAGAUUCUACCUCUGGCUAACCUACAGCUAUCAGGAGUCAGUAAUCCAUGUUGGAUAAAGAGACUUUGAGGAGCAAUUUUAUUCUAUUGGAAUGCACCAGUUUGCACAAUGGAUUUGUUCAAUUUUUUCUAGUCAGCUUUCCUGAGAGACAACAUUUCUGAAGUGCUCUUUCAGUUUUCAUUCUGCAGUUCUUUAAUUGGAUGAAUGGGCUGCAGGGCUCUGGAAGUUGAACAGAAAGUAAAAUUUGCACUCUUUGUAAAACUAGCCAAACAAAACCUGUCUUGCAGUUUCAUCUGACUCCAGGAUAAAACGAACAUGAAAGAAAUGCCUAUUUAAAGAAUGAAAGUGUGAAUGGUUUAGUGGUAUUCUCUUCAGAUUGGCACAUUUUAGAAGAGUCUUUUUCCUUCAUGGGAAAGUAAUAUGCUCCAAGUUGACCAACUGCAGAUCCUUUUCAUAAGAGGUUGAAGGAAAGGCACUGGUAAUGCAACAACAGUGGUGCACCGUAGGACUGGGAUAUAAUGCCAUAGAACUAAUUAGCAUUAUGUACUCCCUGUGUGCUUUCUUAGAGGAACUAUGGUUCUAAAUGAUAGGUAUGUAGCUUGAAACAUUCUUAAUCUGGGCAAGUGGUGCAGUGAAACAUUA
Molecule: non-coding RNA, 2648 nt
Organism: Meleagris gallopavo (turkey)
Lineage: Eukaryota; Metazoa; Chordata; Aves; Galliformes; Phasianidae
Source: RefSeq, a predicted model, not a curated record